GACGAACGCUGGCGGCGUGCUUAACACAUGCCAGUCGAACGGAAAGGCCCUGCUUUUGUGGGGUGCUCGAGUGGCGAACGGGUGAGUAACACGUGAGUGACCUGCCCUUGACUUUGGGAUAACUUCAGGAAACUGGGGCUAAUACCGGAUAGGAGCUCCUGCUGCAUGGUGGGGGUUGGAAAGUUUCGGCGGUUGGGGAUGGACUCACGGCUUAUCAGCUUGUUGGUGGGGUAGUGGCUUACCAAGGCUUUGACGGGUAGCCGGCCUGAGAGGGUGACCGGCCACAUUGGGACUGAGAUACGGCCCAGACUCCUACGGGAGGCAGCAGUGGGGAAUAUUGCACAAUGGGCGGAAGCCUGAUGCAGCAACGCCGCGUGCGGGAUGACGGCCUUCGGGUUGUAAACCGCUUUCGCCUGUGACGAAGCGUGAGUGACGGUAAUGGGUAAAGAAGCACCGGCUAACUACGUG
Molecule: ribosomal RNA, 468 nt
Filed under: uncultured bacterium
Lineage: Bacteria
Description: partial 16S ribosomal RNA
Rfam family: Bacterial small subunit ribosomal RNA
Source: RNAcentral